ACUCCUGCGGGAGGCAGCAGUGGGGAAUAUUGGACAAUGGGCGCAAGCCUGAUCCAGCCAUGCCGCGUGAGUGAUGAAGGCCCUAGGGUUGUAAAGCUCUUUCACCGGUGAAGAUAAUGACGGUAACCGGAGAAGAAGCCCCGGCUAACUUCGUGCCAGCAGCCGCGGUAAUACGAAGGGGGCUAGCGUUGUUCGGAUUUACUGGGCGUAAAGCGCACGUAGGCGGACUAUUAAGUCAGGGGUGAAAUCCCGGGGCUCAACCCCGGAACUGCCUUUGAUACUGGUAGUCUUGAGUUCGAGAGAGGUGAGUGGAAUUCCGAGUGUAGAGGUGAAAUUCGUAGAUAUUCGGAGGAACACCAGUGGCGAAGGCGGCUCACUGGCUCGAUACUGACGCUGAGGUGCGAAAGCGUGGGGAGCAAACAGGAUUAGAUACCCCUGUAGUCCCAUGAU
This 450-nucleotide ribosomal RNA is filed under the name uncultured organism. RNAcentral's name for it is "partial 16S ribosomal RNA". It matches the Rfam family "Bacterial small subunit ribosomal RNA", at positions 335 to 801 of the family's 1533-position model. The record is from RNAcentral.